RNAcentral lists this long non-coding RNA (598 nucleotides) under Brassica napus (rape). RNAcentral's name for it is "long non-coding RNA (BNAP_LNC001793)". The record is from RNAcentral. Lineage: Eukaryota; Viridiplantae; Streptophyta; Magnoliopsida; Brassicales; Brassicaceae.
CAAUAUCUACUCUUUUGUUUUGGUCUUUUUGGCUAGAUCUUUAUAGAUUUCCGGUGGUCCUCCUGAUCCCAUAAAUCACUGUCUUACAAUUUCCAAUAUCUACUCUUUUGUUUUGGUCUUUUUUGCAGAUCUUUGAAGAUUUCUGGUGGGUUUAUUAGGGUUUUUAUCCAAUCUUUUUUUUUUAAAUUAUUACUAUAUCUCUCUUUCAUGAAGAGUUUAUCGGUGAGUUCACCGGACUCUGACUUGUUUCCAUCAUCUUGCAGAUUCGACACUUAGCAAAAUUUCCAGCUUAAACACCAGUUUGUUAUCUUGUGUAGCGGUAUGUACAAAGCCAGAAGAAGAUGCAAUCGAGAUUACUUCAUUUUUUUGUAAGUGAGAGUUGGUUUUCGACAUUACAACUAAAUUUCAGAUAUCCAACUUUGUCAUGAAUGCUUUAUUGACGCAUUUAAGAUUUGUCUCGAAUUCGCUGUCAUAUUCACAUGAAGUUCUGUUUGGCAUAAUUUAUUUUGUUAUGAUGUUUUAUGACUACUAUCAAAGAGGAUGAAUAAUUUCAUUCUUAUUAUUGUUUCAAAGAGUAAGUUAAUAAAAUUAAGAUGUG